RNAcentral lists this long non-coding RNA (703 nucleotides) under Bemisia tabaci. Its description in RNAcentral is "lncRNA ENSSSA1NGG008706". The record is from RNAcentral. Lineage: Eukaryota; Metazoa; Arthropoda; Insecta; Hemiptera; Aleyrodidae.
AGUUCUUGAGUGUCCUUUCAUGCCUUUCCUUAAGGGCCGUUCCCUUUCAGUGUGAGGAAUCGCCAGCCGAAGGUUGAUCAAACAUUUUUUUGUUCCUCAUCUAAUUAUCUAACUUUUGUCGGUAGACCCUUGUAAAAAGUUCGCCUGUAAACUUCAGAGGUGCCUUGAAGUCAAUAAUUUUCAAGAAUCAUCCUGCCAAACUGUGCUUGAAUCACUGGAAGAUUGUUGUGAAAAGUUCAGACAAGUAUCACCGAUUGUCUGUUCUGGCAUUAAAGCUAAGGAAGAUAAAGGAGAAAAAUUACCUAGUACCAAUGGUUUGGGGAGGCAGAAAUGACUAAGCAGAAAAUUAGAAUUUACAAACCGCCACCUAAAUUUGAUCCUCUGGGUCAUUUGCCCUGGUAUAAACGAUUUUUUUAUAGGAAUAACAAAAGCAUAUUAAUUCUCUCAUCUAUAGCUUGCACGCUGUAUGUAUUUGAGAGGUUUAUCAUUGAUUUGAAGAAUGCACCAAACACACCGUCUGAUCUUUGGAAAUACUCAAAUGAUGAAGUCUCUAUCGCCCGAAGAAGAUUACAAGCACAACGAGUGAGACAACUUGAAUUGUCAUUUCCGGCGAGGAGGCCGGUGAAAGAAUUUUACUGCGAAGAAUGUUAAACUACAAAUUCUUCCCAAAGGCAACCGUACAAAAAACAUCGUGUACAAAGAG